UACGUAGGGGGCUAGCGUUGUCCGGAUUUAUUGGGCGUAAAGAGCGUGUAGGCGGCCAUGUAGGUCCGGUGUGAAAACUCGAGGCUUAACCUCGAGAUGUCAUCGGAAACCAUUUGGCUAGAGUCCGGAAGAGGAGAGUGGAAUUCCUGGUGUAGCGGUGGAAUGCGCAGAUAUCAGGAGGAACACCGGUGGCGAAGGCGGGAUCCUGGGCCAGUACUGACGCUGAGGAGCGAAAGCGUGGGGAGCAAACAGG
RNAcentral lists this ribosomal RNA (253 nucleotides) under uncultured bacterium. RNAcentral describes it as "partial 16S ribosomal RNA". It matches the Rfam family "Bacterial small subunit ribosomal RNA", at positions 524 to 776 of the family's 1533-position model. The record is from RNAcentral.